GCGGAGGGAUCAUUACUGAGUUACCGCUCAUCAACCCUUUGUGAACAUACCUUAACUGUUGCUUCGGCGGGUAGGCGUCCCCUAAAAAGGACGUCUCCCGGCCCUCUCCCGUCCGCGGGUGGGGCGCCCGCCGGAGGAUAACCAAACUCUGAUUUAACGACGUUUCUUCUGAGUGACACAAGCAAAUAAUCAAAACUUUUAACAACGGAUCUCUUGGUUCUGGCAUCGAUGAAGAACGCAGCGAAAUGCGAUAAGUAAUGUGAAUUGCAGAAUUCAGUGAAUCAUCGAAUCUUUGAACGCACAUUGCGCCCGCCAGCAUUCUGGCGGGCAUGCCUGUUCGAGCGUCAUUUCAACCCUCAAGCUCUGCUUGGUGUUGGGGCUCUACGGUUGACGUAGGCCCUUAAAGGUAGUGGCGGACCCUCUCGGAGCCUCCUUUGCGUAGUAACAUUUCGUCUCGCAUUGGGAUUCGGAGGGACUCUAGCCGUAAAACCCCCAAUUUUACUAAGGUUGACCUCGGAUCAGGUAGGAAUACCCGCUGAACUUAAGCAUAUC
This is a ribosomal RNA of 552 nucleotides. The stretch from base 194 to 347 matches the Rfam family "5.8S ribosomal RNA".